RNAcentral lists this ribosomal RNA (253 nucleotides) under uncultured bacterium. RNAcentral describes it as "partial 16S ribosomal RNA". It matches the Rfam family "Bacterial small subunit ribosomal RNA", at positions 524 to 776 of the family's 1533-position model. The record is from RNAcentral.
UACAGAGGGGGCAAGCGUUGUCCGGAAUUACUGGGCGUACAGCGCGCGCAGGCGGACCGCCCCGUGCCGUGUGACAAGCCACUGCUCAACAGUGGAGGGCCAGGGUACACGAGCGGUCUGGAGGCAGGGAGAGGGAUGUGGAAUGCCCGGUGGAGCGGUGAAAUGCGUAGAGAUCGGGCGGAACACCAGCGGCGAAGGCGGCAUCGCGGUCCUGUUCUGACGCUGAGGCGCGAGAGCGUGGGGAGCGAACUGG